RNAcentral lists this transfer RNA (76 nucleotides) under Ktedonobacter sp. RNAcentral's name for it is "tRNA-Arg". It matches the Rfam family "tRNA". From Rfam's summary of the family: Transfer RNA (tRNA) molecules are approximately 80 nucleotides in length. Lineage: Bacteria; Bacillati; Chloroflexota; Ktedonobacteria; Ktedonobacterales; Ktedonobacteraceae. The record is from RNAcentral.
GUCGGUGUAGCUCAGUGGAUAGAGCAUUUCUCUCCUAAAGAAAGGGUCGUGGGUUCGACUCCCACCACCGACGCUA